AACUCUUAGCGGUGGAUCACUCGGCUCGUGCGUCGAUGAAGAACGCAGCUAGCUGCGAGAACUAAUGUGAUUUGCAGGAUUUGUCCUAAAUCUCCAAAAUCUCAGAAAUUUAGGAGAAAAAACAAGGAAAUUUGAGUUUCA
Molecule: ribosomal RNA, 141 nt
Organism: Xiphophorus maculatus (southern platyfish)
Lineage: Eukaryota; Metazoa; Chordata; Actinopteri; Cyprinodontiformes; Poeciliidae
Rfam family: 5.8S ribosomal RNA
About the family: 5.8S ribosomal RNA (5.8S rRNA) is a component of the large subunit of the eukaryotic ribosome.
Source: Ensembl